CUAAGGAGAAAGGCAUGAAAAUGCAAAACUCUUUCACUCAUCAUAUUCAGUUUUGAGAGACUUUUAGUUUCUCUGAAACACAUAGAUUCAAAUGAAGUCUUUGAAAAGUAGAUAAAUGUUGUCAAAAAGGAAAACAAGGUU
This 141-nucleotide unclassified non-coding RNA is filed under the name Acholeplasma sp. G383. RNAcentral's name for it is "16S-23S ribosomal RNA intergenic spacer". Lineage: Bacteria; Bacillati; Mycoplasmatota; Mollicutes; Acholeplasmatales; Acholeplasmataceae. The record is from RNAcentral.